UGUUAAAAAAUUCAUCCAUUUGUACUAUUAAAAACUGGGAUAGCUUAUGAAAUAACCUGACAAUAAUACAUGGUGUGCCACAUGUACCUCAUGUUGAUGUAUAAGGACUAGUUUUUAAUAGUAAAAAUAGAUAAAAUUUAAAUA
RNAcentral lists this microRNA precursor (144 nucleotides) under Gossypium raimondii (Peruvian cotton). Its description in RNAcentral is "MIR7502 microRNA precursor family". It matches the Rfam family "MIR7502 microRNA precursor family". The record is from Rfam by way of RNAcentral. Lineage: Eukaryota; Viridiplantae; Streptophyta; Magnoliopsida; Malvales; Malvaceae.